Molecule: ribosomal RNA, 465 nt
Filed under: uncultured bacterium
Lineage: Bacteria
Description: partial 16S ribosomal RNA
Rfam family: Bacterial small subunit ribosomal RNA
Source: RNAcentral
CCUACGGGAGGCUGCAGUGGGGAAUUUUGCGCAAUGCUCGUAAGAGUGACGCAGCGACGCCGCGUGAAUGACGAAGGCCUUCGGGUCGUAAAGUUCUUUCGACAGGGAAGAAAAUGCCUAUAAGUAACUGUGUAUGUAUUGACGGUACCUGUAUAAGCAGCCCCGGCUAACUCCGUGCCAGCAGCCGCGGUAAUACGGGGGGGGCGAGCGUUGUUCGGAGGGACUGGGCGUAAAGAGCACGUAGGCGGUGUUGUAAGUCAUUAGUCAAAGACUAGAGCUCAACUUUAGUAAGGCUAGUGAUACUAUAAUACUAGAGUAUCAGAGAGGAUUGCAGAAUUCCUGGUGUAGCGGUGAAAUGCGUAGAUAUCAGGAGGAAUACCGUUAGCGAAGGCGGCAAUCUGGCUGGAAACUGACGCUGAGGUGCGAAAGCGUGGGUAGCAAACAGGAUUAGAUACCCCUGUAGUC